UACGUAGGGUGCAAGCAUUAAUCGGAUUUAUUGGGCGUAAAGGGCGCGUAGGCGGGGAAGUAAGUCAGAUGUGAAAUCCCGGGGCUCAACCUCGGAACUGCAUUUGAAACUACUUCUCUAGAGGGUAGGCGGAGAAAACGGAAUUCCACAAGUAGCGGUGAAAUGCGUAGAUAUGUGGAAGAACACCGGUGGCGAAGGCGGUUUUCUAGCUUAUACCUGACGCUAAUGCGCGAAAGCAAGGGGAGCAAACAGG
Molecule: ribosomal RNA, 253 nt
Filed under: uncultured Parachlamydia sp.
Lineage: Bacteria; Pseudomonadati; Chlamydiota; Chlamydiia; Parachlamydiales; Parachlamydiaceae
Description: partial 16S ribosomal RNA
Rfam family: Bacterial small subunit ribosomal RNA
Source: RNAcentral